RNAcentral lists this microRNA precursor (66 nucleotides) under Melibe leonina. RNAcentral's name for it is "microRNA mle-mir-12100 precursor". The record is from miRBase by way of RNAcentral. Lineage: Eukaryota; Metazoa; Mollusca; Gastropoda; Nudibranchia; Dendronotidae.
CAGAGGACGAGGGAUGUCAAAAUGAAGUGGUUCAGUAGUCAUCAUUUUGCGCCCAAAUCCUCCGCC